RNAcentral lists this unclassified non-coding RNA (201 nucleotides) under plant metagenome. RNAcentral's name for it is "partial contains small subunit ribosomal RNA, internal transcribed spacer 1, and 5.8S ribosomal RNA". The record is from RNAcentral.
UCUCCGUUGGUGAACCAGCGGAGGGAUCAUUGUCGAGUUUAUAACUCCCAAACCCUAUGUGAACUUACCACUUGUUGCUUCGGCGCGCGCUUCGGCGCCGCCGAGGACACUUAAACUCUUUGUUUUUAUAAGCAUUUCUGAGUGGCCGAAAGGCAAAAUACAAAAGAAUCAAAACUUUCAACAACGGAUCUCUUGGUUCUG